GGGCGAGUGGCGGAACUGGUAGACGCACUAGCUUCAGGAGCUAGCGAGAGCAAUCUCAUGAGGGUUCGAGUCCCUCCCCGCCCACCA
This 87-nucleotide transfer RNA is filed under the name bacterium. RNAcentral describes it as "tRNA-Leu". It matches the Rfam family "tRNA". From Rfam's summary of the family: Transfer RNA (tRNA) molecules are approximately 80 nucleotides in length. The record is from RNAcentral.